This 492-nucleotide ribosomal RNA is filed under the name uncultured bacterium. Its description in RNAcentral is "partial 16S ribosomal RNA". It matches the Rfam family "Bacterial small subunit ribosomal RNA", at positions 30 to 507 of the family's 1533-position model. The record is from RNAcentral.
AGUGAACGCUGGCGGUAGGCCUAACACAUGCAAGUCGAACGGCAGCACAGUAAGAGCUUGCUCUUACGGGUGGCGAGUGGCGGACGGGUGAGGAAUACAUCGGAAUCUACUUUUUCGUGGGGGAUAACGUAGGGAAACUUACGCUAAUACCGCAUACGACCUACGGGUGAAAGCAGGGGAUCUUCGGACCUUGCGCGAUUGAAUGAGCCGAUGUCGGAUUAGCUAGUUGGCGGGGUAAAGGCCCACCAAGGCGACGAUCCGUAGCUGGUCUGAGAGGAUGGUGGGGCAAACUGGAAGUGAGGCACGGUGGCGACUGAUACGGAGGGGAGCAGAGGGGAAGAUUGGACAAUGGGGGAAGGCAUGAUACAGUAAUACAGCGGAGGUGAAGAAGGCAUUCGGGUUGUAAAGACGUUUUAUGGGGAAAGAAAAGAAGCAGGAUAAUAACCCGGUGUUAUGACGGUACACAAAGAGUAAGAAACGGCUAACUUAGGG